This 2921-nucleotide long non-coding RNA is filed under the name Rattus norvegicus (Norway rat). RNAcentral's name for it is "long non-coding RNA NONRATT016957". Lineage: Eukaryota; Metazoa; Chordata; Mammalia; Rodentia; Muridae. The record is from RNAcentral.
CAUAAGUUGUGACUGUUGCUUGAGUUAAAGCCAAUGCUAUAGGAGUUCAUUGUCUUCACACAAUCUGUAAUGUCCAGUACCGUCCUCAAAACGUGUCUUGAUGCUUUGCUCCUUGAAAACACUGGCCCAAGGCGAUUGUGUUUGUGUAAUCUCUGACUUCUGGUGUCAACAUACUUACCUUUGCCUGAAAUGUAUUCCUAACCUUAGUUACUUCUAUGUUUAAUAGAAUUUAGACAAUAGAGGUAUUUAACUGUGCUGUGUACCUAUAGCUUGUAUAUUUGCUAAUGUAUUUGAACCAAGAAGUUAUCACAAAGGACUGGUGCACUGAGAGGAAGAGUGUAAUGAGCACGCCUUGGGGAGGAAACUGGUGGGUUCCAGAGUACUUACUGUUGCCCUGUAAGUCAUAACACACUGAGGUACUUUUAUCUCAUUUCCCCUCAAAUGAAUAUUAAAUUUGAAAAUAUAAUUUAUUUACCAAGAAAAAUAAUUAAAAAUGUAUCCUCUUUUAAAUGUAACUGUGAGGCUGGCUUAAAGUAUUAAACUUUAUAGAAUAAGAUAAUUUCCUCUUUCCUUUCACAAAACAAGCUGUUAAUGCCUCACGCAGUGAGUAUCACAUUAGAAGUUGGUCGUGUUAUGCAUAAAUUUUAAAAGUACUCAUACUUUGAGCUUAUGUUUUAAAGGGAUUUUUCUCUUAGAUGUUGAACAAAUAUUUUAAAUGCUAUGGGGGUGUAUUUUAUGUCCUUAUGAUAAAUAUAUGAACAACAGGCUGUUAUAAGUAACCUCCAAAGUGUAUUAUAUAUUUUCAAGGUCUCAUUACUUUGGCUUUAAGAUCAUGUGCCAUGUUUUCACUAGUGGAUUAGAUUCACUGACUUGUUAUCCUAAAGUGGGCUGCAUUGAUUUUAAGAGUGAAUUAUACAGAAGGAUGUGAAAUGAGUUUUUUAAAUAAUUCAUUUUUAGAUUAAAGUGCCUAGAUUAAGGUUAAUGAUGAGAAAAUAAAAGGUAAAAAGUUUAAUUUUUUAAGAUUUUAGCUGUGUACGUACAUCACAGUUAUGUAAAUUAAUACAAGAGUCGGAUUGAGACCCGUGCCAUUAGUGUGUCAGGCUCUUAGGCCGUACGCCUGUGCCCUCGGUGCACAGGGCCUUGCCUUCUCCCCUUCACCCUUCAUUUCCCCUCAGGCCCAGCUCUGCCUGAGGACAAAGUGCACUGUGCCCCACUUCCCUUCCUACUUUCACAUCAGCUGUUUUCACCUAUGAGAUGUCACCGAAUGUGACACACAUGUGCGUGCCUUCCUGUUACCACAUAAGCAAGACAGUUGUGGAUUAUAUUCAUUUACUCAUUGGAGAUCUAAGUGUGUGUCCUGUGGUUUUGUAAACAGAGAUGUAAGUGAACUGUCUUUGGGGGAUCCUCCCUGAGAUAGUGUGGAAGAAUUGCACUGAAACAGUGCUGCAGCAACAUGAGGUGACCUUGGGGGUGACCUUCCAAAAGGUGUCCGAUCUCUGUCUUUACAUUUCAGUUAGUAAACAAGCUGUCCAUCUUCAAGGAAGGGUUGGUUUGUCAGGCUCAGUGCUAAUUAACUAGAAUAGUAACAAGAUAGUUUGUGGCCUUUGACGAGAGAGAUUAAGAAUGACCAAAUAAAAUUUGGGAGCAAUAAAUGUAGAAGAAAAAUCUUUGAUUGGGGGGGGGGGGGGAGUCAGGAAAGCUUAACUUUUUAAAGGAAAAUGUCUUUUUAAAAAGAACAUCUCUGGCUCUGAUUGUUGAAAAUACUUAGGAGAGACAAGUUAUUUGCCUUAAAAGUAGACACAGAAGCAAUGCUUUAACAGAUAAAACUCAAAUGAGGCUCGGCCCUGUUAGGGAGAAAAGGAAGGGCAGCCUAGUGGGCUCACGGUGUCACUGAAGACAGGCGCAUGUGCAAGAUGUUCGAGGGCGUAGGGUUGAUCCUGAGAACGUAGCUGGCUCCUCUUUUCUGGAAGAACAGAGACAAAUUCAGUUGAUUAUUUCCCUUUAUUUGUUUGUUUCUCUUAUGUUCUUGUUCAAUUAAAAAGGGAAUUGUUUCUUCCCAAAAGUCAACAAUAUGUUCAUGGAAUGGCAAAACAAAAUUGUCUUUUUUUCCAAUAUGCCAAAUUUUCUGUUCUGUGAAGGUCAGCUCCAAAGAGCUUUAUCUGUCUCCUGAAUUGUUGUCACCAUGAUUCUAUUGAUUUGAGAGUUAACUGACUAUUCAAAGUAUUUACAAAUGUUUCUCUGCUGUAAGAUGUAGCCUUUCCUACUCACUUCCCAGCAGCUAGCCUAGGAAUGAGGACGGCCAGAGGGAGGGCUAAAAAUGGUGAACUACUCCACACACAGCCUGCUGUGACCAGACUGGGGGCUGUGUUUAUAACGCUGGUUUUUAUUUUUAAUAUGAACAUUUAUUAAUAGUUAACAUAAUGAAUUGGGCUGUAAUUUUAAACUAUGAGAAUUAGGCUGGAUUAAAAUCUGUGAAUUUUAAGUUAAGAAACAUGUAUGUAAAAGAAGUGUGAUAAUGGAACUGUGAACUAGUUUGUCCUUAAUGACUGUGUCGUGUCACGGUCUCCUUGACUGGCCUCAGCAUAUCUGUUACUUCACUGUAAGGACGGAACUCAUUAAUCUGUGGAAAAGUAAAUCACCACAGCGGCAGACAACAGCACUGUCCCUCACAUGCACUGGAGUGAGCAUGUGUUCUGUUCCCGCCAAGUAAACCAGUGCUGGUGUCCUAGUGCUGUGCUGGCUGCAUCAGUGACGCUUUCCAUAAUGUGCGACACAGGUGCCUCAGAAGGCCUGUUUCCCACGUGAGGCCACAGCAGACGGAGGCAGAGAGAAAGCAAACACCCCUAGGAAGGCUGAAAUCAAGUGUAGAAUACUACCAAAUAUCUGUGCUACCGUGGAAUAAAGAUAGCAUUGUGAUGAAU